UACGGAGGGUGCGAGCGUUACCCGGAAUCACUGGGCGUAAAGCGCACGUAGGCGGCUGUUCAAGUCAGAGGUGAAAGCCCGGGGCUCAACCCCGGAACUGCCUUUGAAACUAGACAGCUCGAAUCAUGGAGAGGCGAGUGGAAUUCCGAGUGUAGAGGUGAAAUUCGUAGAUAUUCGGAAGAACACCAGUGGCGAAGGCGGCUCGCUGGACAUGUAUUGACGCUGAGGUGCGAAAGCGUGGGGAGCAAACAGG
RNAcentral lists this ribosomal RNA (253 nucleotides) under uncultured bacterium. Its description in RNAcentral is "partial 16S ribosomal RNA". It matches the Rfam family "Bacterial small subunit ribosomal RNA", at positions 524 to 776 of the family's 1533-position model. The record is from RNAcentral.